GUGGGGAAUAUUGGACAAUGGGCGAAAGCCUGAUCCAGCCAUGCCGCGUGUGUGAAGAAGGUCUUCGGAUUGUAAAGCACUUUAAGUUGGGAGGAAGGGCAGUAAGUUAAUACCUUGCUGUUUUGACGUUACCGACAGAAUAAGCACCGGCUAACUUCGUGCCAGCAGCCGCGGUAAUACGAAGGGUGCAAGCGUUAAUCGGAAUUACUGGGCGUAAAGCGCGCGUAGGUGGUUUUGUAAGUUGGAGGUGAAAUCCCCGGGCUCAACCUGGGAACUGCCUCCAAAACUGCAUGACUAGAGUACGGUAGAGGGUAGUGGAAUUUCCUGUGUAGCGGUGAAAUGCGUAGAUAUAGGAAGGAGCACCAGUGGCGAAGGCGACUACCUGGACUGAUACUGACACUGAGGUGCGAAAGCAUGGGGAGCAAACAGGAUUAGAUACCCUGGUAGUCC
RNAcentral lists this ribosomal RNA (450 nucleotides) under uncultured bacterium. Its description in RNAcentral is "bacterial SSU rRNA". It matches the Rfam family "Bacterial small subunit ribosomal RNA", at positions 354 to 796 of the family's 1533-position model. The record is from RNAcentral.